CAAAAGGGCAACAUUUGCCAAAUGCAUAUGAUUUUUUUGCCUGACAAAGGGAUUCUUCACUUUACCAAAAAAAAAAAAAAAAAAAAAAUCCCCUGAAAGGCAUCUUUAAAUAGUGCGUUCCCUCCGUUGCCCAUAAGCCGUAUUAAGAGCUCAUUAAUUAUCUGCCAGGGAGGCUAGAACUAAGAGGCAAGUUGUAAGGAUGGUUGCCAGGGGAAGAAAUGAUGAUAAAUCAGCACCUAAAUGAAAGUGUAAAUCACGGCGGGGUGUAAGACCCCAUCUACGGAAGGUGAUUUGUACACAGCCUCUCAGAAACGUUAUUAUCAGGAAGCGUGCUUGCAGGAGGUGGGCACACUGUUCACUUGGAACCAGAUUUCCGCCUUUGAAGGGCAUCCGUUUCCCCUCCUUGGUCUCCUCUGCACAGCUUUCAAGGUAUCUUUGAGCUCUCUUGCUUGCGACUAGAACGUGGUCCUGCCUCUGCCACGGCAACUCCCCUGCUAUCCCGUCAGACUCUCCAGGCCCCUCAGGGCUGCAGAUGUCCCUCCCUCUCGUGAGCGUAAGGGAUUUUAUAAAGGGCCAUUCCACCUUCAGCCAGAGUGGUUGGCAACUUGGAUGAGAAGAGGGUGUUCUCCAGGAGUGUUGCUGGUGAUGUACGGGGUGCUCCAUCAGGAAAGAACGUUUAUUGAGUGGUGAGUGGGUGUCAGCACUUGUGUUCAUGCUUCGAUAUACUCUUCAUCAAAAACUGUGGAAAUAAAUGAAGACCACUCGCAUGAGGACCAAGCAGGGUUUGCUACAGGGGAAGUCAGCCACCAUCAUUUGCGUUUGGCAGAAACUUGAAAGGCAGGCAGGAAAAUAGGAAAGCUUUGUAGUGGAAAAAAGGACAUGCUUCAGGUGUGCCCUGAUUAGGCUGUUGGCCUGGGGAAGCUUUGGGCUAAUGAAACAGGACAUCCUGUGCAGUUGGUUAAGGGAGCAGAUGUGACCUUCUCUGUUUGGUGAUAAGUUGGAAACAGGGGCAAAAUUAGGGAAGCUGGCAGUCAUUGAUCAAGUCCUGGCUGUUCGAGGCCAGCUGCCGCAGAGGCUGUAGGUAGGGUUCUGUUUGUAUGUGCGGUCCGGCCAUAUCAUUGUCCAUUUGUAUAUUCAGUCUCUCACUAGAACGGCAUUGCCUCUUUAAGUCACAAGAUCCCAGUAGAGCUUUCUACAGGGAAAUGCAUUGGUUCUCUCCCAGGCAACAGCCAGACUUGUGUUCCUGUCCCUCGAACAUUUCCAGGUGCCUUUAGGAGUGAGCUGGCUCUGUUCUUCCUUUUGGUUGUUCCCUGCUUACCUGGGCUUGGGGGCCUGUGCUCACCAGGGUUGCUGUACAAGAGAAUCAUCUCUCACUCUCUUCCAUUCUGCCUCCUUCUCUGUGCUUUCAUGGUCCUCGGCUUUUCCCACUUAUGGGCAAGGCUUAAUGUCCUUAGGCGGAUCCAUCCCCCCUCUCAACUAGGACUCCUUCAGGACCUUGACUAAAGGGCCAGGUCUGAGUUAUUGUCACAGCUUCAGAGCCCAGCACAGUACCUGACCCACAGAAAGUAUAUGACAAAUGUCUCGUGAAUAAUUCAAU
RNAcentral lists this long non-coding RNA (1597 nucleotides) under Equus caballus (horse). RNAcentral's name for it is "lncRNA (ENSECAG00000058957.1)". Lineage: Eukaryota; Metazoa; Chordata; Mammalia; Perissodactyla; Equidae. The record is from RNAcentral.